Molecule: ribosomal RNA, 405 nt
Filed under: uncultured bacterium
Lineage: Bacteria
Description: bacterial SSU rRNA
Rfam family: Bacterial small subunit ribosomal RNA
Source: RNAcentral
UGGGGAAUUUUACGCAAUGGGGGAAACCCUGACGUAGCGACACCGCGUGAGCGAAGAAGCCUUUUGGGGUGUAAAGCUCUGUCAGCUGGAACGAACACAAUGACGGUACCAGCAGAGGAAGCAUCGGCUAACUACGUGCCUGCAGCCGCGGUAAAACGUAGGAGGCGAGCGUUAUCCGGAUUUACUGGGCGGAAGGCGCGUGCAGGCGGAUUGGAGAGUUGGAUGUGAAAGCUCCCGGCUUAACUGGGAGAGGUCGUUCAAUACGUCCAGUCUUGAGUGCAGUAGAGGGAAGUGGAAUUCCGGGUGUAGUGGUGAAAUGCGUAGAUAUCCGGAGGAACACCAGUGGCGAAAGCGGCUUCCUGGACUGUAACUGACGCUCAGACGCGAAAGCUAGGGUAGCAAACG